Molecule: transfer RNA, 87 nt
Filed under: Buchnera aphidicola (Cinara cf. splendens/pseudotsugae 3390)
Lineage: Bacteria; Pseudomonadati; Pseudomonadota; Gammaproteobacteria; Enterobacterales; Erwiniaceae
Description: transfer RNA Serine
Rfam family: tRNA
About the family: Transfer RNA (tRNA) molecules are approximately 80 nucleotides in length. Their secondary structure includes four short double-helical elements and three loops (D, anti-codon, and T loops).
Source: RNAcentral
GGUGAGAUGUCCGAGUGGUUUAAGGAGCACGCCUGGAAAGCGUGUAUACAAUAAAAUGUAUCAAGGGUUCGAAUCCCUUUCUCACCA